GUAGGUGGCAAGCGUUGUCCGUAAUUAUUGGGCGUAAAGCGCGCGCAGGCGGUCCUUUAAGUCUGAUGUGAAAGCCCACGGCUCAACCGUGGAGGGUCAUUGGAAACUGGGGGACUUGAGUACAGAAGAGGAAAGCGGAAUUCCAAGUGUAGCGGUGAAAUGCGUAGAGAUUUGGAGGAACACCAGUGGCGAAGGCGGCUUUCUGGUCUGUAACUGACGCUGAGGCGCGAAAGCGUGGGGAGCAAACAGGGAUUAGAUACCCUGGUAGUCCACGCCGUAAACGAUGAGUGCUAAGUGUUAGGGGGUUUCCCGCCCCUUAGUGCUGCAGCUAACGCAUUAAGCACUCCGCCUGGGGAGUACGGCCGCAAGGCUG
Molecule: ribosomal RNA, 373 nt
Filed under: uncultured organism
Description: partial 16S ribosomal RNA
Rfam family: Bacterial small subunit ribosomal RNA
Source: RNAcentral